This is a small nuclear RNA of Pygocentrus nattereri (red-bellied piranha), 159 nucleotides long. Its record names the gene U1. It matches the Rfam family "U1 spliceosomal RNA". Rfam says of the family: U1 is a small nuclear RNA (snRNA) component of the spliceosome (involved in pre-mRNA splicing). Its 5' end forms complementary base pairs with the 5' splice junction, thus defining the 5' donor site of an intron. The record is from Ensembl. NCBI's taxonomy places the organism in Eukaryota, Metazoa, Chordata, Actinopteri, Characiformes, Serrasalmidae.
CUACUUUCCUGGCAGGGGCGAUCCUGUGAUCAUGAAAGUGGUUCACCCAGGGCGAGGCUCUGCCGUACUUCCAUUGCUGACCCUUGCAAAUUCCUUGAAUGCGGAAAUCUCGACUGCAUAAUUUCUGGUAGAGGUGAACUGCGCUCGCACUCUCCCCUG